UACGUAGGGCGCAAGCGUUGUCCGGAAUUAUUGGGCGUAAAGAGCUCGUAGGCGGCCAGUUGCGUCUGCUGUGAAAUCCCGGGCUCAACCCCGGGCUUGCAGUGGAUACGGGCUGGCUGGAGGCAGGCAGGGGAGAACGGAAUUCCCGGUGUGAGCGGUGAAAUGCGCAGAUAUCGGGAGGAACACCGGUGGCGAAGGCGGUUCUCUGGGCCUGUACUGACGCUGAGGAGCGAAAGCGUGGGGAGCGAACAGG
Molecule: ribosomal RNA, 253 nt
Filed under: uncultured bacterium
Lineage: Bacteria
Description: partial 16S ribosomal RNA
Rfam family: Bacterial small subunit ribosomal RNA
Source: RNAcentral